GGGCGGUCUUUGCUCUCACCCCUUGAUUUGGGACGCGUGUCUUGAAAGACAGACGGGAGAGAAAGGACCACCCAGUCGCAGAAGGCAAGGCUAGGAGACGCGCUCGCCCGCCCUUUAGGCAAAGGAGGGAAGCCCGCGUAUUGUGUACUGGGCUCCGAAACAGCCCCGGGGACUGGAAAAGGAACUCCCUCUCUGGGGCAUGAGGCGGAGGGCUGCCAAAGCCAACUAGACUCUCCUGGUGGGGCCGGACGAAGUAGAGAGAGACAGGGGGAGGCAGGAGGAGAGCCUGGAAAUCCCUGCGAGCCCUAGCGGAGAGGUUCCCUGCCCGGGGCGGGGCGCUGGAGAGCUUCCCAGAAACGGAAGGCGUCGGGGAGAACUUAUCCUGGAACUGCUGGACAGCUCCGGGACCUAGAGCGCCCCCUGCCAAACAGCGCCGAGAACCGGACUCUUGGUUCUCCAGAACCAGCACACAGCAGGAGACAAGGGCAGCAGAGCGAGUGUGCCUGUCCACGCUGAAAAGAAGAAAUGAUAGGAAAAACUGCACCAAGCUGGACAACGUCUAUCAUUAUACACAAGAUUUACCCCACUAAAGGCCAACCUUGCAGAGAAGAGCCUCUGCUGAGCCUCAGAGCUUGGGGUGAAACCCUGGGGGAAGAUCAUCUAAGCACCAAUUAACCCACAUCUAACACCUGGGUCAUAAGAUGGCCAUGAAGCAGAUUGCUCUCAUUUGAUCUUCAAGUUAUCCUCCAGAACCAUUAACCAUAGGUAAGCAC
This 773-nucleotide long non-coding RNA is filed under the name Felis catus (domestic cat). RNAcentral's name for it is "lncRNA (ENSFCAG00000048468.1)". The record is from RNAcentral. Lineage: Eukaryota; Metazoa; Chordata; Mammalia; Carnivora; Felidae.